This 1137-nucleotide long non-coding RNA is filed under the name Olea europaea subsp. europaea. Lineage: Eukaryota; Viridiplantae; Streptophyta; Magnoliopsida; Lamiales; Oleaceae. The record is from RNAcentral.
UUAUAACCAGACAUGGAUAAUAAUACACAAGUAAAUUAAAUAAUGUCUGGUAAUACUGAGUUCCAUAUCCCGAGAGUACUACAGAUUUUCUUCCCCUAGUAAAAGACGUGGGGAAAAUAAAGCACAUUCAUUAGGAGAACAGAAUUAACCAGUUGGUGAUUUUAACUUUUAUUACCUAAGUAAUGCUGCCUAUCCACAAUUAUUUACAGAUUGAUGUACAGAGAAAGAGGGAAAAAAACAGUUUGGUAGAGACGGAACGAGGAAAAAAGAAGGAAGUGAAGAAAAUCAGUUAAAUUUUAUUAUAGUGUCAUGUCAUCAAUCUGUAAAUAAAUAUGUACAUGUUGCAUUACUCUUAUUACCUUGGGUGGGAUAACGGUGUUUAUAUAAAAAACUAACCAUCUGAAUAGCCAUAUGCAAACUACCACCAAACAUCGCUUAGAAGACUAGUUUCUGAAUUCAAAUCAACCUCGACCCCUAUUAAUGACAAACUUGACUACUAAGCAAACAGCUCGUUGUCAGUUGAUGAAACAAGGUAGCAUCUCGAGUCUUUCAAAAUGCCACAGUUUCAGCCAGCAUAUUUACAAAGCACCACACUUGCAAUAGAAAAUGAAAAUAAGGGAUAUUUACCAUCUGAUUUACAGAGGCAAAGCAUUUGUAAAUCCAUUCAACCGAGGGAAUGUAGUCUAAAACUCUAUCAUCAUCUGCACCCGGGUCAUAUUUGUUCUUAUAUUUCCUCUCAAAGCAACAGUUUUGAGACCUACAAUUUACAAAGGUAGCGGCACCACAUGAGGAAAACCUGAAGAAAAAAAUUGUUAAUUUGAGCUUAUUGCUGAAUAUUCAGCUUGAAACAAAGAAAUGAAAGGAUAUGCCAAUAUCCAUUGAUACUAACUCAAUCAUAUGAUUUCAAACACGGUAAAUGAACAAACUUUUAGUUUCAAUAAACUUCAGAAAAGUGCAGAUAAAAAUGAUGAAUGCUAUUGGAGGCCUUCUAAAUAGAAACUAAAAUAUAACAAAACUUGGCAAUGCAAAGUUCACUAGUGAAGUUGUAAAUAGUGUUUAUUUUAUUCCAUUUUUUCCUUUCAAGGGAGACUAUCAUGUUGAUUAUCCAUGCGAUCUACCUCAAUAAGUGCAUCAGCA